Molecule: ribosomal RNA, 497 nt
Filed under: uncultured bacterium
Lineage: Bacteria
Description: partial 16S ribosomal RNA
Rfam family: Bacterial small subunit ribosomal RNA
Source: RNAcentral
GAUGAACGCUGGCGGCGUGCCUAAUACAUGCAAGUCGAGCGAACAGACGAGGAGCUUGCUCCUCUGACGUUAGCGGCGGACGGGUAAGUAACACGUGGAUAACCUACCUAUAAGACUGGAAUAACUUCGGGAAACCGGAGCUACUACCGGAUAAUAUAUUGAACCGCAUGGUUCAAUAGUGAAAUACGGUUUUGCUGUCACUUAUAGAUGGAUCCGCGCCGCAUUAGCUAGUUGGUAAGGUAACGGCUUACGAAGGCAACGAUGCGUAGCCGACCUGAGAGGGUGAUGGGCGACACAGGAACUGAGACACGGUCCAGACUCCUAGGGGAGGCAGAAGUAGGGAAUCGUCCGCGAUGGGCGAAAGCCUGACGGAGCAACGCCGCGUGAGUGAUGAAGGUCUUCGGAGCGGAAAACUCUGUUAUUAGGGAAGAACAAAUGUGUAAGUAACUAUGCACGUCUUGACGGUACCUAAUCAGAAAGCCACGGCUAACUACGUG